GGGAAGUGACUAGUGGGAAGAAGUUAUAGAAGCCACUCUGAGAAUGUAGCUGGGAGGAGACGGAGAAGCAGAAACGGUACUGAAGCUGUCAGGUGAAGGCAGAAAUGACCGGCUAAGAAGGCCUCAUACCAUCCAUCUGGAGCAUCCUGCAUUUCUCCCAGGCUCUUCAAGGUAGAGCUGCAUCUUCCUUUGACCUUUUGGACCCAGGUAGAUGAGGACCGGCCUUUCUCAGGCUCUAGAUUCGAGUCGGGUAAAAAACAGAGUUCAAAACGGAGAACCUCCCCUUUCAGGGAGCUCUGUUUUACAGCAGGGCUAAGGAAGGCCAGGUUGUUCCACCGACAAGGCACUGAGAGCCCACUGGAGUUGGUGACCCUGCGUGGGGUGGGGGUAGGGUGCUUGGAGGGAUCUUCCUGAGUUCUGGGAUCCCAUGGGUCUGUCCACACUUAGUGUGAAGCAUCUGAGGCCUAUUCAAAUGAGCUGCAAAUAAACCUUGCUCAGGCUCAGCCUGUCCCUGCCCCCACAGGUCCAGUGGGUCCAGAGGAGGCCCGUCUGCACAGUCAUCCUCAAAAGACCGCCCUUCCCUUUCACACCUCGGCUUUCCCAUCCAAAUCAAAUACGAUUUCUCAUGUGGACUGAGGUCUAGGGAGGCCAGAGAAAGGAGGAAGCAAUCUUCAGCUCUGUGGUACUCAGCCUCAGGUCCAAGGGUGACAGAUUUUAUUCUAAUAAAGUACGACAGCAC
Myodes glareolus (Bank vole) is the source of this 739-nucleotide non-coding RNA. The record is from RefSeq and is a predicted model, not a curated record. Lineage: Eukaryota; Metazoa; Chordata; Mammalia; Rodentia; Cricetidae.